UGGGGAAUAUUGGACAAUGGGCGAAAGCCUGAUCCAGCAAUGCCGCGUGAGUGAUGAAGGCCUUAGGGUUGUAAAGCUCUUUUACCCGGGAAGAUAAUGACUGUACCGGGAGAAUAAGCCCCGGCUAACUCCGUGCCAGCAGCCGCGGUAAUACGGAGGGGGCUAGCGUUGUUCGGAAUUACUGGGCGUAAAGCGCACGUAGGCGGCCAUUCAAGUCAGAGGUGAAAGCCCGGGGCUCAACCCCGGAAUUGCCUUUGAGACUGAGAGGCUAGCAGGUGAGAGAGGUAAGUGGAAUUCCGAGUGUAGAGGUGAAAUUCGUAGAUAUUCGGAAGAACACCAGUGGCGAAGGCGGCUUACUGGCUCAUACUAGACGCUGAGGUGCGAAAGCGUGGGGAGCAAACAGGAUUAGAUACCCCCGUAGUCC
RNAcentral lists this ribosomal RNA (424 nucleotides) under uncultured bacterium. RNAcentral's name for it is "bacterial SSU rRNA". It matches the Rfam family "Bacterial small subunit ribosomal RNA", at positions 355 to 796 of the family's 1533-position model. The record is from RNAcentral.